RNAcentral lists this ribosomal RNA (482 nucleotides) under uncultured bacterium. RNAcentral's name for it is "partial 16S ribosomal RNA". It matches the Rfam family "Bacterial small subunit ribosomal RNA", at positions 30 to 507 of the family's 1533-position model. The record is from RNAcentral.
AUUGAACGCUGGCGGCAUGCCUUACACAUGCAAGUCGAACGGUAACAGGUCUUCGGAUGCUGACGAGUGGCGAACGGGUGAGUAAUACAUCGGAACGUGCCCGAUCGUGGGGGAUAACGAGGCGAAAGCUUUGCUAAUACCGCAUACGAUCUACGGAUGAAAGCGGGGGAUCUUCGGACCUCGCGCGGACGGAGCGGCCGAUGGCAGAUUAGGUAGUUGGUGGGAUAAAAGCUUACCAAGCCGACGAUCUGUAGCUGGUCUGAGAGGAUGAUCGGCCACACUGGGACUGAGACACGGCCCAGACUCCUACGGGAGGCAGCAGUGGGGAAUUUUGGACAAUGGGCGAAAGCCUGAUCCAGCCAUGCCGCGUGCAGGAUGAAGGCCUUCGGGUUGUAAACUGCUUUUGUACGGAACGAAAAGCCUCUUUCUAAUAAAGAGGGGUCAUGACGGUACCGUAAGAAUAAGCACCGGCUAACUACGUG